GGAAACGCCGAGGAACCCGGCUGAGGCGGCAGCUUCGUAGGUGACAGACAGGUACACUGUAUGCUAGCCCUGUAUCUGUCUGAGCAGUGGAAUGUGCCGGGAAAGAAGGAGCAACCACUGACUGAUGAACCUUUCCCAGUCUCCCUUCCAAGAGGGAUACCAGAGCCUUCUGUAAGCUCCUGAGAUGUCACUGGUAUCUAGGCAACAGGGAUGAGCCUGAACCUCCCUGAGGCCAGCUUGCUGAGCAGAGCGUCCUGGCCAGAACAAGCCAAGGAGCCAAGACGAGAGGGACACACAGACAAACAACAGACGGAAGACGUACUGGCCGCUGGACUCCGCUGCCUCCCCCAUCUCCCCGCCAUCUGCGCCCGGAGGAUGAGCCCAGCCUUCAGGGCGAUGGAUGUGGAGCCCCGCGCCAAAGGCGUCCUUCUGGAGCCCUUUGUCCACCAGGUCGGGGGGCACUCAUGCGUGCUCCGCUUCAAUGAGACAACCCUGUGCAAGCCCCUGGUCCCAAGGGAACAUCAGUUCUACGAGACCCUCCCUGCUGAGAUGCGCAAAUUCACUCCCCAGUACAAAGGUGUCUCUUGAUCACAGUAACCCAUAGUCCCCCAUUGUGGGGACAGUGGGGGAA
RNAcentral lists this small RNA (631 nucleotides) under Pongo abelii (Sumatran orangutan). Its description in RNAcentral is "processed transcript". The record is from RNAcentral. Lineage: Eukaryota; Metazoa; Chordata; Mammalia; Primates; Hominidae.